UGGGGAAUUUUGGACAAUGGGCGCAAGCCUGAUCCAGCCAUGCCGCGUGCAGGAUGAAGGCCCUCGGGUUGUAAACUGCUUUUGUACGGAACGAAAAGCCUCUUUCUAAUAAAGAGGGGUGAUGACGGUACCGUAAGAAUAAGCACCGGCUAACUACGUGCCAGCAGCCGCGGUAAUACGUAGGGUGCGAGCGUUAAUCGGAAUUACUGGGCAUAAAGCGUGCGCAGGCGGUCUUGCAAGACAGUGGUGAAAUCCCCGGGCUCAACCUGGGAACUGCCAUUGUGACUGCAAGGCUGGAGUACGGCAGAGGGGGAUGGAAUUCCGCGUGUAGCAGUGAAAUGCGUAGAUAUGCGGAGGAACACCGAUGGCGAAGGCAGUCCCCUGGGCCUGUACUGACGCUCAUGCACGAAAGCGUGGGGAGCAAACA
Molecule: ribosomal RNA, 427 nt
Filed under: uncultured bacterium
Lineage: Bacteria
Description: bacterial SSU rRNA
Rfam family: Bacterial small subunit ribosomal RNA
Source: RNAcentral